UACGUAGGGUGCAAGCGUUAAUCGGAAUUACUAGGCGUAAAGCGUGCGCAGGCGGUUGUGUAAGUUUGUCGUGAAAUCCCCGGGCUCAACCUGGGAAUUGCGAUGAAGACUGCACGGCUAGAGUGUGUCAGAGGGGGGUAGAAUUCCACGUGUAGCAGUGAAAUGCGUAGAUAUGUGGAGGAACACCGAUGGCGAAGGCAGCCCCCUGGGAUAACACUGACGCUCAUGCACGAAAGCGUGGGGAGCAAACAGG
Molecule: ribosomal RNA, 253 nt
Filed under: uncultured bacterium
Lineage: Bacteria
Description: partial 16S ribosomal RNA
Rfam family: Bacterial small subunit ribosomal RNA
Source: RNAcentral